This 333-nucleotide ribosomal RNA is filed under the name uncultured fungus. Its description in RNAcentral is "eukaryotic LSU rRNA". Lineage: Eukaryota; Fungi. The record is from RNAcentral.
CGCACCUUGCGCUCCUUGGUAUUCCUCGGAGCAUGCCUGUUUGAGUAUCAUGAAACUCUCAAAGAAAAUCUUUUGUUAAUUCAAUUGGUUUGCUUUUGGACUUUGGGAGGUUUUUUUUGCAGAUUAAUUUCUGCUCCUCUUAAAUGUAUUAGUACUGGAUCUCAGUAUAUGCUCGGUUCCACUCGGCGUGAUAAGUAUCACUCGCUGAGGACACUGGUUAAAAAGGUGGACCGGGGAAAUACAGAUGAACCGCUUCGAACAGUCCAUUCACUUAGGACAAAUAAAGUUUUAAGAUCUGAUCUCAAAUCAGGUAGGACUACCCGCUGAACUUAA